Molecule: transfer RNA, 72 nt
Filed under: Etrocorema hochii
Lineage: Eukaryota; Metazoa; Arthropoda; Insecta; Plecoptera; Perlidae
Description: tRNA-Asp
Source: RNAcentral
AAAGAAUUAGUUAAUCAUAACCUUAGUAUGUCAUACUAAAAUUACUAGAAUUGUUAACUCUAGUAUUCUUUG